Long non-coding RNA from Aquila chrysaetos chrysaetos, 194 nucleotides. RefSeq lists it as uncharacterized. The record is from RefSeq and is a predicted model, not a curated record. The transcript has 4 exons. NCBI's taxonomy places the organism in Eukaryota, Metazoa, Chordata, Aves, Accipitriformes, Accipitridae.
CAAAAAGGAUCAAGGAGCUGUCAGCACCUUGCCUAUGGAGAAAGGCCGAGAGAGUUGGGCUUACUCAGCCUGGAGAAGAGAAGGCUCUGGGGAGACCUUAUAGCAGCAUUUCAGUAAUUAAAGGGAGUGUAUAAGAAAGCCAGAGUGAGACUUUUUACCAGGGCCUGUAGUGACAGGACAAGUGACAACUGUUU